RNAcentral lists this ribosomal RNA (497 nucleotides) under uncultured bacterium. Its description in RNAcentral is "partial 16S ribosomal RNA". It matches the Rfam family "Bacterial small subunit ribosomal RNA", at positions 28 to 507 of the family's 1533-position model. The record is from RNAcentral.
GAUGAACGCUGGCGGCGUGCCUAAUACAUGCAAGUCGAGCGAACGGACGAGAAGCUUGCUUCUCUGAUGUUAGCGGCGGACGGGUGAGUAACACGUGGAUAACCUACCUAUAAGACUGGGAUAACUUCGGGAAACCGUAGCUAAUACCGGAUAAUAUUUUGAACCGCAUGGUUCAAAAGUGAAAGACGGUCUUGCUGUCACUUAUAGAUGGAUCCGCGCUGCAUUAGCUAGUUGGUAAGGUAACGGCUUACCAAGGCAACGAUGCAUAGCCGACCUGAGAGGGUGAUCGGCCACACUGGAACUGAGACACGGUCCAGACUCCUACGGGAGGCAGAAGUAGGGAAUCUUCCGCAAUGGGCGAAAGCCUGACGGAGCAACGCCGCGUGAGUGAUGAAGGUCUUCGGAUCGUAAAACUCUGUUAUUAGGGAAGAACAUAUGUGUAAGUAACUGUGCACAUCUUGACGGUACCUAAUCAGAAAGCCACGGCUAACUACGUG